CCAAAGAAUUAAAUAAAAUAAAUUAAAAUAUACUCUUUCUUUUUCACUUCCAGGAUACAAUUUAACCUGCCAAUUGAUUAAAAAGCAUUAAGCACACGUUAAUACCGAAGCCAAUAUCAAAGGACCAAUUGCAUGCUAAGAAUAAAAAACUAGGCCAUCAAGCACUUUCCCAUCUACGUAAGCAACAUAAAUUAGCAUUUGUAUACCUGAAAACUAAAAAUUCAAACAAUCAAAACCACAAUUCAAACCAAACUCUAGGUCUUUUUCAUAACCCAUAUAUCAAAAUUCAUGUCUUCAUAUUGUCAUUAUGAGAAAAUGGAACCCAGAUAACAAAACUCAUAAAAGCAUUGGAAAUUAAUCUUAGCUACCAUGACAAAACAGCCUUGCUACUAUCACGAAAAUCAUAAGAACAAGAGUGGGCAAAAUACACCCAUCAGCGAAGCCUCCUAGCUUCCCUUUCAGAUUCAAGGAGUGUAAGCACAUCUCCUUCUCUAACAGGUCCCUUAACAUUCCUCAUGAUGAAUCGAUUCUGGUCAUCAAGAAACUUGACUCUGACUUGAGUCACCUGACCCCUGGAUCCAGUCCUACCCAUUACUUUCACCACCACGGCAUGCUUAAUCUGUGAAUCCAUCCUGAGUAGAUAGGAGAAUGAGAGAGAGGAAGAGCAGCCGCUAAGAUUUCCGGUCGCAACAGUUGCAAGG
RNAcentral lists this unclassified non-coding RNA (701 nucleotides) under Hevea brasiliensis (rubber tree). Lineage: Eukaryota; Viridiplantae; Streptophyta; Magnoliopsida; Malpighiales; Euphorbiaceae. The record is from RNAcentral.